This 1318-nucleotide long non-coding RNA is filed under the name Agrilus planipennis (emerald ash borer). Its description in RNAcentral is "uncharacterized LOC108742647, transcript variant X2". Lineage: Eukaryota; Metazoa; Arthropoda; Insecta; Coleoptera; Buprestidae. The record is from RNAcentral.
ACAAAGUUGUUGGAGGUCGCCAUUUUUGUUUUUGAUUAGAUUCAAGAUAAACGAGUGAGGAGAUUGAAGAUCAUUUUGAUGCUACGGAAAAAACAAGUCGUCUCCCUCCUAAGGUGUUUUAUCUGUUAACUUUUCAUCUUGGAGGCUCUUAUAGUUAAUUAAUUAAGAGGAACAUCAGAAGAACUCCAGAUGCCAUUAAAUUAUGGACCAUUGGUUGUGUUAGUUAUCAAUUGCUCCGGAAAGUAGUUGUACCUAUGGCCCUAAAAAAAGCAUAAAAAUACCAUUCUUCCAUUGGGAAUGGAGACAGUGUGCUGUUGCUGAAAAAGGGAUUUAUGACAGUGAACUGGUAUGUAACAGUAUCAAUUAAAAGUAGUGGGUGAGGGAGGUCCCAGAAACUUAAAUUUCUUAGACAUUUGAAACUUGCUUCAAUACACAGUGUUUAAACAUUUCAGAAAUGGCAUAUGCAGAACAGCAGAAUUAAUAUGGAACUGAUCUUUUCGUCAAUCUGAAUUUUACUGAUUUACUUGCUUUAAAAAUGGUAAUUAAUUACUUUUUCUUGCCCGUUUCUAUAGAUUGUCCAACGGUAAGAAAGAAUUGCAGUUAAUUAUGGUGCUAACGAAGCAAUCGAUGCUUUUAAUGUCUUCACUUUACAAUAUUAUGCAGUUAGUUUUGGUCAUGGGAGGCAAUUGGAAAUUAAUUUGGGAGCCACUGAAACAACAAGUUGUCUUCAGUGGUAUUCCUCUUAUAUUUGUUUCAUGGCUCAUCAUACUGGUAGACUUUAGAAUUACUUUCUACAGUUAGUUAAGGUGAAAAUACAAGACGUGCUUCAUGCAGUAACUUUCUUGAGGAGAUUGAAGUUCAUUUUGAUGCUACUGAAAAAACAAGUUGUCUCCAUUCUAUGGUGUUUUAUCUCUUAACUUUUCAUCUUGGGGACUCUUGCAGUUAAUUAAUUAAGAUUGUUGCAACAAAUUAGGAGGAACUGGUGGUAUUGAAACAAGCGAUGCUUUUGAUGUUUUCACUUUGCAACAUUAUGCAGUUAGUUUUGGCCAUGAGAACGGGAGGCAAUUGGAAAUUAAUUUGAAAGCCACUGAAACAACAAAUUGUCUGCAGUGGUAUCCCUCCUAUAUUUGGUUUGCUCAUCACACUGGUAGACUUUAGAACGCUACAUUCUACAGUUAGUCAAGAUCGUUCAACAAAUAAGAGGGAGUUGAAAGUUCAAUUUGGUCGUACUAAAACAACCAUUGUCUACAUGGGUGUGGUCUUUGGUGAACUAUAUUCUUGAUUUGCUGUUUUCGUCUUCACUCUACAUUAUUAUGCA